AAAUCUGAACCUCAAAGCAAAAUCGAUGUGCACAAGGUGUUUGACGAAAGUUUCACCAAUGGCUGCCCCACAGUAUUUGCUGAAACGCGAUCACAAACUUCAAUUAAAAUGCCUCGUGAAGCAUCUACAAGUACGGAUAGUCUCGCAGUCCAAUUGUUUGACGAAUGUCCCCAAAGAGAACUACCAGAGAGGUACAUUAACACAAUUUCUCUAAAUCGUAGCUAUAAUGUACAACAAAUUGAAAUUGAG
RNAcentral lists this long non-coding RNA (249 nucleotides) under Capsicum annuum. Its description in RNAcentral is "long non-coding RNA (CANN_LNC010650)". Lineage: Eukaryota; Viridiplantae; Streptophyta; Magnoliopsida; Solanales; Solanaceae. The record is from RNAcentral.